This 72-nucleotide transfer RNA is filed under the name Verrucomicrobiaceae bacterium. RNAcentral describes it as "tRNA-Arg". It matches the Rfam family "tRNA". Rfam says of the family: Transfer RNA (tRNA) molecules are approximately 80 nucleotides in length. Their secondary structure includes four short double-helical elements and three loops (D, anti-codon, and T loops). The record is from RNAcentral. Lineage: Bacteria; Pseudomonadati; Verrucomicrobiota; Verrucomicrobiia; Verrucomicrobiales; Verrucomicrobiaceae.
GCACCCGUAGUUAAAUGGAUAUAACGGUGGUCUCCGAAGCCGCAGGUUCAGGUUCGAUUCCUGACGGGUGUA